RNAcentral lists this ribosomal RNA (459 nucleotides) under uncultured bacterium. RNAcentral describes it as "partial 16S ribosomal RNA". It matches the Rfam family "Bacterial small subunit ribosomal RNA", at positions 338 to 795 of the family's 1533-position model. The record is from RNAcentral.
CCUACGGGCGGCUGCAGUGAGGAAUAUUGGUCAAUGGGCGGGAGCCUGAACCAACCAAGCCGCGUGAAGGAAGAAGGCGCCAGGCGUCGUAAACUUCUUUUGUCGGGGAACAAAGGUCGCCACGCGUGGCGUUGUGAGUGUACCCGAAGAAAAAGCAUCGGCUAACUCCGUGCCAGCAGCCCCGCUAAUACGGGGGAUGCGACCGUUACCCGGAUUUAUUGGGUUUAACGGGUGCGUAGGCGGUCCGGAAAGUCAGCGGUAAAAGCCCGGGGCUCAACCCCGGCCAGGCGUUGAAACUGUCGAACUAGAGACGGCGAGAGGUACGCGGAAUGCGCGGUGUAGCGGUGAAAUGCAUAGAUAUCGCGCAGAACUCCGAUUGCGAAGGCAGCGUACCGGCGCCGGACUGACGCUGAGGCACGAAAGCGUGGGUAUCGAACAGGAUUAGAUACCCGAGUAGUC